Molecule: non-coding RNA, 124 nt
Organism: Triticum aestivum (bread wheat)
Lineage: Eukaryota; Viridiplantae; Streptophyta; Magnoliopsida; Poales; Poaceae
Source: Rfam
CAGCUACUCCCUCCGUCCGGAAAUACUUGUCCUUGAAUUGGAUAAAAUGGAUGUAUCUAUAACUAAAAUAAGUCUAGAUACAACCAUUUCGAGGACAAGUAUUUCCGGACGGAGGGAGUACUUA